Molecule: transfer RNA, 71 nt
Filed under: Ophiomastix mixta
Lineage: Eukaryota; Metazoa; Echinodermata; Ophiuroidea; Amphilepidida; Ophiocomidae
Description: tRNA-Arg
Source: RNAcentral
UAAGGGCUUAGUUUAAAUAAAACAUUUAGCUUCGAACUAAAAACUCCUCGCCUUAAUCCAGGAGCCCAUAA